Molecule: ribosomal RNA, 490 nt
Filed under: uncultured bacterium
Lineage: Bacteria
Description: partial 16S ribosomal RNA
Rfam family: Bacterial small subunit ribosomal RNA
Source: RNAcentral
GAUGAACGCUAGCGAUAGGCUUAACACAUGCCAGUCGAGGGGCAGCAUGGUCUUAGCUUGCUCAGGCUGAUGGCGACCGGCGCACGGGUGCGUAACGCGUAUGCAACUUGCCUCACAGAGGGGGAUAACCCGUCGAACGACGGACUAAUACCGCGUACACUCUAUGUUGGGCAUCCGAUGUAGAGGAAAUGAACUUCGCUGUGAGAUAGGGAUGCGUCCCAUUGGCUAGUUGGUGAGGUAACGGCUCACCAAGGCGACGAUGGGUGGGGGAACUGAGAGGUAGAACCACCAGACUGGUACUGAGACACGGACCAGACUCGAACGGGAGGCAGCAGUGAGGAAGACUGGUCAAGGAGGGAGAGCCUGAACCAGCCAAGUCGCGUGAAGGAUGACUGGCUUAGGGAUUGUAAUCUUCUUUUAUACAGGAGCAACAAGAGUCACGUGUGGCGCCCUGAAGGUACCGAAUGAAUAAGCAUCGGCUAACUCCGUG